AAGUUUCAACAACGGAUCUCUUGGCUCUCGCAUCGAUG
Molecule: ribosomal RNA, 38 nt
Filed under: Ceratobasidium sp. AG-U
Lineage: Eukaryota; Fungi; Basidiomycota; Agaricomycetes; Cantharellales; Ceratobasidiaceae
Also listed under: 1 other name
Description: partial 5.8S ribosomal RNA
Source: RNAcentral